This 375-nucleotide ribosomal RNA is filed under the name uncultured bacterium. Its description in RNAcentral is "bacterial SSU rRNA". It matches the Rfam family "Bacterial small subunit ribosomal RNA", at positions 524 to 898 of the family's 1533-position model. The record is from RNAcentral.
UACAGAGGGUGCAAGCGUUAAUCGGAAUUACUGGGCGUAAAGCGUGCGCAGAUGGUUGCGUAAGUCAGAUGUGAAAGCCCCGGGCUCAACCUGGGAAUUGCAUUUGAGACUGCGUAGCUAGGGUGCGGAAGAGGGAAGCGGAAUUUCCGGUGUAGCGGUGAAAUGCGUAGAUAUCGGAAGGAACACCAGUGGCGAAAGCGGCUUCCUGGUCCAGCACCGACAUUCAGGCACGAAAGCGUGGGGAGCAAACAGGAUUAGAUACCCUGGUAGUCCACGCCAUAAACGAUGAGAACUAGACGUUGAAGGGGUAAGCCCUCCAGUGUCGCAGCUAACGCGCUAAGUUCUCCGCCUGGGGAGUACGGCCGCAAGGUUGAA